UACGGAGAGUGCAAACGUUGUUCGGAUUCACUGGGCGUAAAGGGCACGUAGGCGGCUCGGCAAAUCGGUCGUGGAAUCCCGACGCUUACCGUCGGAACGGCGGCCGAAAAUACCGGGCUAGAGGGCGGGAGGGGUCACUGGAACUCCUGGUGAAGCGGUGAAAUGCGUAGAUAUCAGGAGGAACGCCGGAGGCGAAAGCGAGUGACUGGCGCGUUCCUGACGCUGAGGUGCGAAAGCGAGGGGAGCAAACAGG
Molecule: ribosomal RNA, 253 nt
Filed under: uncultured bacterium
Lineage: Bacteria
Description: partial 16S ribosomal RNA
Rfam family: Bacterial small subunit ribosomal RNA
Source: RNAcentral